UACGUAGGGGGCAAGCGUUGUCCGGAUUUAUUGGGCGUAAAGAGCGUGUAGGCGGCCAGGUAGGUCUGCUGUGAAAACUCGAGGCUUAACCUCGAGCUGUCGGCGGAAACCAUCUGGCUAGAGUCCGGAAGAGGAGAAUGGAAUUCCCGGUGUGGCGGUGAAAUGCGUAGAUAUCUGGAGGAACACCGGUGGCGAAGGCGGGUCUCUGGGCCGAUACUGACGCUGAGGAGCGAAAGCCAGGGGAGCAAACGGG
This 253-nucleotide ribosomal RNA is filed under the name uncultured bacterium. RNAcentral's name for it is "partial 16S ribosomal RNA". It matches the Rfam family "Bacterial small subunit ribosomal RNA", at positions 524 to 776 of the family's 1533-position model. The record is from RNAcentral.